This 274-nucleotide ribosomal RNA is filed under the name uncultured bacterium. Its description in RNAcentral is "partial 16S ribosomal RNA". It matches the Rfam family "Bacterial small subunit ribosomal RNA", at positions 523 to 796 of the family's 1533-position model. The record is from RNAcentral.
AUACGGGGGGAGCAAGCGUUGUCCGGAAUUACUGGGCGUAAAGGGCGUGUAGGCGGCUUGAUAAGUCAGAUGUGAAAGCCUUCCGCUUAACGGAAGAACUGCAUUUGAAACUGUCGGGCUUGAGUGCGAGAGAGGGUAGUGGAAUUCCCAGUGUAGCGGUGAAAUGCGUAGAUAUUGGGAAGAACACCAGUAGCGAAGGCGGCUACCUGGCUCGUAACUGACGCUAAGGCGCGAAAGCGUGGGGAGCAAACAGGAUUAGAUACCCCAGUAGUCC